UACAGGGGGUGCAAACGUUAUCCGGAGUUACUGGGCGUAAAGGGCGUGUAGGCGGUUUGUUAAGUCUGGCGUGAAAGCUCUCGGCUAAACCGGGAGAGGUCGUUGGAUACUGGCGAACUAGAGGAUGGUAGAGGCGUGUGGAAUUCCGGGUGUAGUGGUGAAAUGCGUAGAGAUCCGGAGGAGCACCAGUGGCGAAGGCGACACGCUGGGUCAUACCUGACGCUAAAGCGCGACAGCAUGGGGAGCAAACGGG
This 253-nucleotide ribosomal RNA is filed under the name uncultured bacterium. Its description in RNAcentral is "partial 16S ribosomal RNA". It matches the Rfam family "Bacterial small subunit ribosomal RNA", at positions 524 to 776 of the family's 1533-position model. The record is from RNAcentral.